Molecule: ribosomal RNA, 260 nt
Filed under: uncultured bacterium
Lineage: Bacteria
Description: partial 16S ribosomal RNA
Rfam family: Bacterial small subunit ribosomal RNA
Source: RNAcentral
GUCCACGCCCUAAACGAUGAAUACUCGGUGUCGGGUCGCAAGAUUCGGCGCCUAAGCAAACGCAUUAAGUAUUCCACCUGGGAAGUACGAUCGCAAGGUUGAAACUCAAAGGAAUUGACGGGGGCCCGCACAAGCAGUGGAGCAUGUGGUUUAAUUCGAUGCAACGCGAAGAACCUUACCUGGGCUUGAAAGGCAAGAUUAUAAUUCCUGAAAGGGAGUUACCCGCAAGGGGUCUUGUACAGGUGCUGCAUGGCUGUCGU